RNAcentral lists this small nucleolar RNA (86 nucleotides) under Oryza sativa (Asian cultivated rice). RNAcentral's name for it is "Z204 small nucleolar RNA". Lineage: Eukaryota; Viridiplantae; Streptophyta; Magnoliopsida; Poales; Poaceae. The record is from RNAcentral.
AGUAAUUCAUGAUGACGAUAAGUAAUCGACUUAACAUGACUGAUUACUCAUCAGUCAUCUCCACUCAACAUGACUACUGAUUCAUU